CCUACGGUGUGCAGCAGUGAGGAAUAUUGGUCAAUGGUCGGGAGACUGAACCAGCCAAGCCGCGUGAGGGAGGAAGGUACAGAGUAUCGUAAACCUCUUUUGUCAGGGAACAAAGACUGGGACGCGUCCCCGGAUGAGUGUACCUGAAGAAAAAGCAUCGGCUAACUCCGUGCCAGCAGCCGCGGUAAUACGGAGGAUCCGAGCGUUAUCCGGAUUUAUUGGGUUUAAAGGGAGCGUAGAUGGGUUGUUAAGUCAGUUGUGAAAGUUUGCGGCUCAACCGUAAAAUUGCAAUUGAUACUGGCAGUCUUGAGUACAGUUGAGGUAGGCGGAAUUCGUGGUGUAGCGGUGAAAUGCUUAGAUAUCACGAAGAACCCCGAUUGCGAAGGCAGCUUACUAAACUGUGACUGACAUUGAUGCUCGAAAGUGUGGGUAUCAAACAGGAUUAGAUACCCUAGUAGUC
This 460-nucleotide ribosomal RNA is filed under the name uncultured bacterium. Its description in RNAcentral is "partial 16S ribosomal RNA". It matches the Rfam family "Bacterial small subunit ribosomal RNA", at positions 338 to 795 of the family's 1533-position model. The record is from RNAcentral.